CGCGAGAUGGAGCAGUAUGGUAGCUCGUCGGGCUCAUAACCCGAAGGUCGUUGGUUCAAAUCCAGCUCCCGCAACCA
This 77-nucleotide transfer RNA is filed under the name Shewanella sp. SR44-3. RNAcentral's name for it is "tRNA-Met". It matches the Rfam family "tRNA". From Rfam's summary of the family: Transfer RNA (tRNA) molecules are approximately 80 nucleotides in length. Their secondary structure includes four short double-helical elements and three loops (D, anti-codon, and T loops). Lineage: Bacteria; Pseudomonadati; Pseudomonadota; Gammaproteobacteria; Alteromonadales; Shewanellaceae. The record is from RNAcentral.